RNAcentral lists this ribosomal RNA (296 nucleotides) under uncultured bacterium. Its description in RNAcentral is "partial 16S ribosomal RNA". It matches the Rfam family "Bacterial small subunit ribosomal RNA", at positions 335 to 630 of the family's 1533-position model. The record is from RNAcentral.
UUCCCUACGGGGGCAGCAGUGAGGAAUAUUGGUCAAUGGGAGAGAUCCUGAACCAGCCAAGCCGCGUGAGGGAAGACGGCCCUAUGGGUUGUAAACCUCUUUUGUCAGGGAACAAAGGCGGGGACGUGUCCCCGGAUGAGUGUACCUGAAGAAAAAGCAUCGGCUAACUCCGUGCCAGCAGCCGCGGUAAUACGGAGGAUGCGAGCGUUAUCCGGAUUUAUUGGGUUUAAAGGGUGCGCAGGCGGUCUGUUAAGUCAGCGGUCCAAGCCCGGGGCUCAACCCCGGCCCGCCGUUGA